Molecule: small nuclear RNA, 102 nt
Organism: Nannospalax galili (Upper Galilee mountains blind mole rat)
Lineage: Eukaryota; Metazoa; Chordata; Mammalia; Rodentia; Spalacidae
Source: Ensembl
GUACUUGCUUUGGCAGCACAUACACUAAACCUGGAAUGAUACAGAGAUCAGUACGGCCCCUGUGCAAGAAUGACACAAAUUCGUGAAGUGUUCCAUAUUUUU